AACUAACGAGGAUUCCCCUAGUAGCGGCGAGCGAACCGGGAGAAGCCCAGCUUGAGAAUCCCGUCGUAGUCGAUUUGCGGCGGGAGUUGUAGUCUGGAGAAGUGUCCUCUGCAGCGGACCUGGCCUAAGUCCCCUGGAAAGGGGCGUCAGAGAGGGUGAGAACCCCGUCGGGCCGGGAGCCUGCUGCUCCACGAGGCACUGUCGACGAGUCGGGCUGUUUGGGAAUGCAGCCCUAAGUGGGAGGUAAAUUCCUUCCAAGGCUAAAUACGGGCGGGAGACCGAUAGCGAACAAGUACCGCGAGGGAAAGAUGAAAAGGACUUUGAAAAGAGAGUUAAAAAGUGCUUGAAAUUGCUGGGAGGGAAGCGAAUGGAGGCCUCGUGUGCGCCCCGGUCGGAUGCGGAACGGCGUUCAGCUGGUCCGCCGCUCGACGCGGGGCGCUGGUCGGCGUGGGCUUUUGUUUCCGGCGGGAUAAAAGUCGGUCUUUUUGUCGGGCCGGCCGAUGCCGUCGGGGAGGCCGAGGAAUCGAAGUGCGCGCCCUUUGUAAAAAKUGGKCGGGCUCCCCCCUCCACGGGGGAGCACAUGCGCACUCGGGACGCCGGCGUAGUGGGCUUUUCAUCCGACCCGUCUUGAAACACGGACCAAGGAGUCUAACAUGCAUGCGAGCCGGUGGGUGGCAAACCCACACGUUUUGAGAGGCGCAAAUAACUUGAUAAGGUGUGAUCCUCGAGAGGGGUGCAACAUCGACCGACCAUGAUCUUCUGUGAAAGGUUCGAGUAAGAGCAUGCCUGUUGGGACCCGAAAGAUGGUGAACUAUGCCUGAGCAGGGCGAAGCCAGAGGAAACUCUGGUGGAGGCUCGUAGCGAUACUGACGUGCAAAUCGUUCGUCAGACUCGGGUAUAGGGGCGAAAGACUMAUCGAACCAUCUAGUAGCUGGUUCCCUCYGMAGUUUCCCUCAGGAUAGCUGGAGCACGAGGAGUUUCAUCAGGUAAAGCGAAUGAUUAGAGGCAUCGGGGGUGAWACACCCUCGACCUAUUCUCAAACUUUAAAUAGGUGAGAUCCGUUUUUUAAAAAGAGGGGUUGCUUGAUUGAACCCCCGGCGGAGAAUCCG
RNAcentral lists this ribosomal RNA (1109 nucleotides) under Clevea hyalina. RNAcentral's name for it is "eukaryotic LSU rRNA". It matches the Rfam family "Eukaryotic large subunit ribosomal RNA", at positions 63 to 1106 of the family's 3401-position model. Lineage: Eukaryota; Viridiplantae; Streptophyta; Marchantiopsida; Marchantiales; Cleveaceae. The record is from RNAcentral.